This 903-nucleotide long non-coding RNA is filed under the name Ananas comosus (pineapple). Its description in RNAcentral is "long non-coding RNA (ACOM_LNC021939)". The record is from RNAcentral. Lineage: Eukaryota; Viridiplantae; Streptophyta; Magnoliopsida; Poales; Bromeliaceae.
UUUAUACUAGUGUGUGUGUGGCUUCUUGGAAAAGAAGUGUGUGGAAAAAAUUAUUAUAAAAAUUAAGAGAGAGAGAGAGAGAGAGAGAGAGAGAGAGAGAGAGUUGGGUGGAGAGUGAGGGGGGAGAAGAGAAGGUUCCUACAAAAGAAAAAAUGAGAAAGAGACAUGCUUUGGAAGGUUGAAUCCUCCAAUUUAUUGAGAAAAUUAGGGAUAAUUGUCUAUAUAUUCUUUACACGUUUGAAAAUAUUCAAUUUAUUCUUUUUUUUUUUUAUCUUUCUAAAAUACACAUCAUAUGUUCCACUGCUAUUGCAAAAUACCUCCGUAGUUAUUUCUUAUUAAGUAAACUUAAGUUAAACGUGAGUUAAAUAUGUACCACAGUUAAAAAAAUUACAAUGUUAAUUUUACCCUUAACUUAAGGGCAAAUAAGAAAUUUUGGUGACGGUAGAGAGGUAUAUUGGAAAAUACCAAAAGUCAAAAUACUUUUUGUGCCCUUGACUUUAAGGACAAAUAAGAAAGUCAGUAAUAGUAGAACGGUAUAUUCGAAAUGGCAAAACAGAAAUUUUAUAGAGAUAACAAAGUUAAUUAACAGAUUUUAACUAUUGGAAUAUAUUAGAAAUAGGUUGAAACGUAAAAAGAGUAUUUUCAAUAUUACCCUUCUAAGAGGAGUAAAUUGAAAAGUCGAAAACUUUUUAGGAAUAUAUAAGCAAUUGCCCCAUAAAAUUAUACAAACUUUAUCUUAGUUAUUUUUUAUUUUGAGCUGAUUAUUUAAUUUUUUAAAAUUUUAGUUUUACUUUCAAAUUUUUAAAUUUAUUUGAUUUGCGCUAGUGAGUAACUCUUUAAUUUUUAAUUUUGAAUGCGUUGUUUAUUUUUGUAAAUACAGUAAGCAUAUUUCGUAUAAUUCAU